AUAUCAAUAAGCGGAGGAAAAGAAACCAACAGGGAUUGCCUUAGUAACGGCGAGUGAAGCGGCAACAGCUCAAAUUUGAAAUCUGGCCUCUGGCCCGAGUUGUAAUUUGCAGAGGAUGUUUCUGGCGAGGUGCCUUCCGAGUUCCCUGGAACGGGACGCCAUAGAGGGUGAGAGCCCCGUACGGUUGGUCGCUAAGCCUCUGUGAAACUCCUUCGACGAGUCGAGUAGUUUGGGAAUGCUGCUCUAAAUGGGAGGUAUACGUCUUCUAAAGCUAAAUACCGGCUAGAGACCGAUAGCGCACAAGUAGAGUGAUCGAAAGAUGAAAAGCACUUUGAAAAGAGGGUUAAAUAGUACGUGAAAUUGUUGAAAGGGAAGCGCUUAUGACCAGACUUGGACCGGUUGAUCAUCCAUCGUUCUCGGUGGUGCACUCUGCCGGUUCAGGCCAGCAUCAGUUUGGCUCGGGGGAUAAAGGCUUCGGGAAUGUGGCUCCCUACGGGGAGUGUUAUAGCCCGUUGCGUAAUACCCUGGGCUGGACUGAGGUUCGCGCUCCGCAAGGAUGCUGGCGUAAUGGUCAUCAGUGACCCGUCUUGAAACACGGACCAAGGAGUCGUCUUCGUAUGCGAGUGUUCGGGUGUCAAACCCCUACGCGUAAUGAAAGUGAACGUAGGAGAGAGCUUCGGCGCAUCUCCGACCGAUCCUGAUGUUCUCGGAUGGAUUUGAGUAAGAGCAUACGGGGCCGGACCCGAAAGAAGGUGAACUAUGCCUGUAUAGGGUGAAGCCAGAGGAAACUCUGGUGGAGGCUCGCAGCGGUUCUGACGUGCAAAUCGAUCGUCAAAUAUGGGCAUGGGGGCGAAAGACUAAUCGAACCUUCUAGUAGCUGGUUUCCGC
RNAcentral lists this ribosomal RNA (888 nucleotides) under Hydropisphaera erubescens. RNAcentral describes it as "eukaryotic LSU rRNA". It matches the Rfam family "Eukaryotic large subunit ribosomal RNA", at positions 40 to 961 of the family's 3401-position model. Lineage: Eukaryota; Fungi; Ascomycota; Sordariomycetes; Hypocreales; Bionectriaceae. The record is from RNAcentral.